Molecule: ribosomal RNA, 492 nt
Filed under: uncultured bacterium
Lineage: Bacteria
Description: partial 16S ribosomal RNA
Rfam family: Bacterial small subunit ribosomal RNA
Source: RNAcentral
AGUGAACGCUGGCGGUAGGCCUAACACAUGCAAGUCGAACGGCAGCACAGUAAGAGCUUGCUCUUACGGGUGGCGAGUGGCGGACGGGUGAGGAAUACAUCGGAAUCUACUUUUUCGUGGGGGAUAACGUAGGGAAACUUACGCUAAUACCGCAUACGACCUACGGGUGAAAGCAUGGGAUCUUCGGACCUUGCGCGAUUGAAUGAGCCGAUGUCGGAUUAGCUAGUUGGCGGGGUAAAGGCCCACCAAGGCGACGAUCCGUAGCUGGUCUGAGAGGAUGAUAAGCCACACUGGAACUGAGACACGGUCCAGACUCCUACGGGAGGCAGCAGUGGGGAAUAUUGGACAAUGGGCGCAAGCCUGCUCCAGCCAUACCGCGUGGGUGAAGAAGGCCUUCGGGUUGUAAAGCCCUUUUGUUGGGAAAGAAAAGCAGCAGGUUAAUACCCCGCUGUUCUGACGGUACCCAAAGAAUAAGCACCGGCUAACUUCGUG